This 446-nucleotide ribosomal RNA is filed under the name uncultured bacterium. RNAcentral's name for it is "bacterial SSU rRNA". It matches the Rfam family "Bacterial small subunit ribosomal RNA", at positions 331 to 792 of the family's 1533-position model. The record is from RNAcentral.
CCAGACUCCUACGGGAGGCAGCAGUGGGGAAUAUUGGGCAAUGGGCGCAAGCCUGACCCAGCGACGCCGCGUGAGGGAAGACGGUCUUCGGAUUGUAAACCUCUUUCAGCAGGGAAGACAAAAGGACGGUACCUGCAGAAGAAGCCACGGCUAACUACGUGCCAGCAGCCGCGGUAAUACGUAGGGUGCGAGCGUUAAUCGGAAUUACUGGGCGUAAAGGGUGUGCAGGCGGCUGAGUAAGACAGAUGUGAAAUCCCCGGGCUUAACCUGGGAACCGCAUAUGUGACUGCUUGGCUAGAGUGCGUCAGAGGGAGGUGGAAUUCCACGUGUAGCAGUGAAAUGCGUAGAUAUGUGGAAGAACACCGAUGGCGAAGGCAGCCUCCUGGGACGCAACUGACGCUCAUACACGAAAGCGUGGGGAGCAAACAGGAUUAGAUACCCUAGUA